GAUGAACGCUGGCGGCGUGCCUAAUACAUGCAAGUCGAGCGAACAGACGAGGAGCUUGCUCCUCUGACGUUAGCGGCGGACGGGUGAGUAACACGUGGAUAACCUACCUAUAAGACUGGGAUAACUUCGGGAAACCGGAGCUAAUACCGGAUAAUAUAUUGAACCGCAUGGUUCAAUAGUGAAAGACGGUUUUGCUGUCACUUAUAGAUGGAUCCGCGCCGCAUUAGCUAGUUGGUAAGGUAACGGCUUACCAAGGCAACGAUGCGUAGCCGACCUGAGAGGGUGAUCGGCCACACUGGAACUGAGACACGGUCCAGACGCCUACGGGAGGCAGCAGUAGGGAAUCUUCCGCAAUGGGCGAAAGCCUGACGGAGCAACGCCGCGUGAGUGAUGAAGGUCUUCGGAUCGUAAAACUCUGUUAUUAGGGAAGAACAAAUGUGUAAGUAACUAUGCACGUCUUGACGGUACCUAGUCAGAAAGCCACGGCUAACUACGUG
This 497-nucleotide ribosomal RNA is filed under the name uncultured bacterium. RNAcentral describes it as "partial 16S ribosomal RNA". It matches the Rfam family "Bacterial small subunit ribosomal RNA", at positions 28 to 507 of the family's 1533-position model. The record is from RNAcentral.